This 206-nucleotide ribosomal RNA is filed under the name uncultured bacterium. Its description in RNAcentral is "partial 16S ribosomal RNA". It matches the Rfam family "Bacterial small subunit ribosomal RNA", at positions 570 to 774 of the family's 1533-position model. The record is from RNAcentral.
CGCAGGCGGGUGCGGAAGUCGGGGGUGAAAGGCCGGGGCUCAACCCCGGAGGGUUCUCUCGAUACUCCGUGCCUUGGGACCGGUAGAGGCCAGUGGAAUUCCCGGAGUAGCGGUGGAAUGCGUAGAGAUCGGGAAGAACACCGGAGGCGAAGGCGACUGGCUGGGCCGGAUCCGACGCUCAGGCGCGAAAGCGUGGGGAGCAAACA